This 1169-nucleotide long non-coding RNA is filed under the name Gallus gallus (chicken). RNAcentral's name for it is "lncRNA (ENSGALG00010010044.1)". Lineage: Eukaryota; Metazoa; Chordata; Aves; Galliformes; Phasianidae. The record is from RNAcentral.
CAUGAAUGCAGGCUGGCAGAGAGGCUAGCCUCCCCUUCUUCCAUGUAAACCCCUAAUAAACACAAACAGGACUUGUUCCCUCCUGCAGCCUCUUCCAGCCCUGUGCUUAGUUCAUGCAGACACUUUUCAAACACCAUGACUCGCCACUGUUUCUCCUUAGGAGUCCCCAGGAGAAUGGAGAAAGGAAGUCAGCUGCAAGCAUGUUCAACUUGAGAGUGCUACACAAGCUACUACUUGAAUCUGUUCAAGAAGUGCUUAUUGAAAGAGCAGAUGAUACUAGCAUUUGACACAAAGACAAUGAGACAGAACAAUGCCAGCAUGAAGAAACACUCAGAAACCAAGAGACAUUCAUAUCAAAGAGCAGUGAUACCCUUGGAAUGAAUGGGAAAUUGUCCCAAAUUUCCCAUGCUGAAGGUUUCAGGAUGACAUUACUCACUGUGUUAAUGCAUAAGGAGUUAGUGUUCCAAAGCAUGGGGGAAGCUCUGAAGGACCAAGGUCAAGAACCCAACAGGAGCCCAAAGACGCCAACAGAGAAACCUCAUUGCUGUUCUUGAUACCUGUGAAAGUGGGGGUUGCAAGUAGCUCAGCUGAAGAGAAGGGUGAGCAUGUGUGGACAAGAGAGAUGUAGUUUGUUUUUCUGGUUGGCACCACAUACUGUAAUUAAAGGCAGCAGAGAAUGGAGGCAUUUUUCGAAACCUUGCUUUCAUUCCCUCCCUAUACUCAAAAUUGCCUAUGGAGACAGCAAAAAUACUUCUCUUAUCUCCUCCUCCUUCCUAUUUUACCUAAUGUCCAACUUCAUCACAAGCACUGUAAUGCUGUAAUCAAACCAACAGCCUUCCUUCACUCAAGCUGUACCCUGCUCAUACAGCUCCCUGUCAUCUCACCCACGUUCAAGUCACAACAACUGCUUCCACGACACAGUUUUAUACAGAUUUGUGUCUCCAUUUCCCUUAAUGUCUAUGACAGCUGAGGUCACCAUGCAGCCUUUCACGAAGACAGGUUGGCCCUCUGUUCUUUCUCAACACCUUUCAUAAAAAUUUUAAGAAAUGGACUCAUUCAAAAGUUCUUGGAGACAUUCAGAUGGGCAGAAGGUGCACUUGAAUGUAUGCAUACUGUGUGCUUGUUGAAGUAAUAGAGAUUAAGAAAUUAUCAAAAAAAAUGUUUCAUAC